Hypanus sabinus (Atlantic stingray) is the source of this 576-nucleotide long non-coding RNA. RefSeq lists it as uncharacterized. The record is from RefSeq and is a predicted model, not a curated record. NCBI's taxonomy places the organism in Eukaryota, Metazoa, Chordata, Chondrichthyes, Myliobatiformes, Dasyatidae. The transcript is spliced from 12 exons.
CGAUUAGCUCUGCCUCAUGCGGCUGGUGGAAAUGGAGGUGGCCCGGCGCGGCAGCGACUUCGCCCGUACUGAGAGGCGAGUGACCCAGCAGCUGACUCCGGAAUGGAAGGUGGCCAGUGGAUGGCAUCAGAAUGAAGUGACCCAAGUGUCGACUGGACAAAUAACAAAGAUUGGAAUCUCUGUUCUCUGAAUGCUGGGACUGGCCUUUACAGGUGUGAAUCUGGUCAAGUCAAAGUGUCUGCUGCUGAGCCUCUGACUCCGAAUAUAAAGUUGGAUUGUGGAUGGCACCAGCCCAAUUCCAAACAUGAAGUUAGCCUGUGGAUUGGAUGGCAUCAGAUUCUGGUUUCUGUUCUCAAAAGUAUGACUGGCCUUAAACAGGUGUCAGGAUACAACUACUGUGACAAUUGAACUGAGGUUCAUUGGGAGCAGCUUGUGGUAUUGUCUUGGGUCCUCAUCUGAUCGGUAGGGGUACAAAACACGGAGCUUGCAAGCAGAUAUCAGCUAUUUUUUUGCCCUGUCUACGAGUAUGUCAAUUCAAUAUGUAACGCUGGGAUAAUAAAAUAAAUACUGCUCUUU